CGCCCUCCCGCGGCCGGGCUCCCGCAGCCCCCGGAAAAGCCAGCUUUCCUCCCGCCGAGCUCCCCGCUUUUUAAUAAAAUCCAGGUAGCGCCGGUUUAAAGAAUCCCAAAUCUCCAUAUACAGCCCGGGAUUGGAAAAGGUACAUUACACAACCCCCCUUUCAAGUUCCUCUCGCUGGAGCUAAAAAAAAAAAAAAAAAAAAAAAGGCGGGGGGGAGGAGGAGGCUGGGGGAGGGAGCACUCUCCAGCGAAGAAACACGCAUUGUUCCCGGGUGCCCGCCUCCCCCCAAGGCCUGCCUCCGGCCGCCACCCAUUGGUCGCGCGCGCCGCCAAUCACGCGCAUGUAAACACCUUGGCCCCCAGCCAUUCCUAUAAAACCAAUUACGGACCUAGGGGCUCCAGCAGUUUCCAGGCUCCCCUCGGCGGGGUUGAAUGAUCAAAACUGGUGGAGCAAUGGUAAUGCGGGACAGAAAACAGACGACACAUGCGCUCUCUACCCAUCACACGCUUCUCGGAGGGCAAGGUCUAAUCAGACCUGAGAAUGACGGAUGGAUGACAUUUACCACACAGCCUUGCCCGAGAGGCAGAACUUCACCACUGGGCUUUGCAUUGGCCACAAACCUCGAGGCUUCUCCAACCGCUCCCGGCCUUCCUCUCCCCCUCCCCCUUGUUCUGUUUCUGUCUCUCAACACCCUGCCCGCACCGGCACCACAGGUCACAAUUCCAAUUCCAGAUGAUAAAAUGCCCUGCUGCGGGGCAUGGGGCCUGGCUCCCAGAGUGGCUGCCGUGAAUGCAUGACACUCGGCCUUCUCUGGGAAUGGCUGCGCGACGCGUCCCUUCCACACCGCGACCUUGACAUGCCCCCGAGGGAAGGUGGAACCUCGUGUCUCCAGCCAGAUGCAUGAAGUGACACUGCGACUUCCAAGGCAAGGUCAGAAAAGGAGACGCCGGGUCACCCUGUCCAAGCUGGGGCUCAAACUCAGUUGUUUCUGGCCUGGCCAGGCUGUGCUCACCAGGGGGUGCUGAUUGAAUGGAGCGGGUUGGCCUGGGUUCGAGUCCUGGUUCUGCUCUUUCCUGGGUGUGUGUCAUGUUUACAAGCCGUUUCCCCUCGCUGAGCCUUGGUUUUCCUGUUUGUAAAGUGGAGCUGACUGUACCUCCUCUCCUGGGGUUGGGUGAGAGUGUGUGUGCCUCAGUUACCCGUGCACGGGGUACCCCAGAGGCUCAUCAUUCUGAGCACUAGCAGGCGCUCAGGUGGCCUGGGGCCUGGGAGCCCCACACCUAGGUGGCCGCCACCGCCGCACCCCUCUACUCCUGGGUACCCA
This 1321-nucleotide long non-coding RNA is filed under the name Sus scrofa (pig). Its description in RNAcentral is "lncRNA (ENSSSCG00070011274.1)". The record is from RNAcentral. Lineage: Eukaryota; Metazoa; Chordata; Mammalia; Artiodactyla; Suidae.